RNAcentral lists this ribosomal RNA (482 nucleotides) under uncultured bacterium. Its description in RNAcentral is "partial 16S ribosomal RNA". It matches the Rfam family "Bacterial small subunit ribosomal RNA", at positions 30 to 507 of the family's 1533-position model. The record is from RNAcentral.
AUUGAACGCUGGCGGCAGGCCUAACACAUGCAAGUCGAGCGGAUGAAGGGAGCUUGCUCCUGGAUUCAGCGGCGGACGGGUGAGUAAUGCCUAGGAAUCUGCCUGGUAGUGGGGGAUAACGUCCGGAAACGGGCGCUAAUACCGCAUACGUCCUGAGGGAGAAAGUGGGGGAUCUUCGGACCUCACGCUAUCAGAUGAGCCUAGGUCGGAUUAGCUAGUUGGCGGGGUAAAGGCCUACCAAGGCGACGAUCCGUAACUGGUCUGAGAGGAUGAUCAGUCACACUGGAACUGAGACACGGUCCAGACUCCUACGGGAGGCAGCAGUGGGGAAUAUUGGACAAUGGGCGAAAGCCUGAUCCAGCCAUGCCGCGUGUGAAGAAGGUCUUCGGAUUGUAAAGCACUUUAAGUUGGGAGGAAGGGCAGUAAGUUAAUACCUUGCUGUUUUGACGUUACCAACAGAAUAAGCACCGGCUAACUUCGUG